Molecule: ribosomal RNA, 253 nt
Filed under: uncultured bacterium
Lineage: Bacteria
Description: partial 16S ribosomal RNA
Rfam family: Bacterial small subunit ribosomal RNA
Source: RNAcentral
UACAGAGGUCUCAAGCGUUGUUCGGAUUCAUUGGGCGUAAAGGGUGUGUAGGUGGCGCCGUAAGUCGGGUGUGAAAUCUCGGGGCUUAACUCCGAAACUGCAUUCGAUACUGCCGUGCUUGAGGACUGGAGAGGAGACUGGAAUUUACGGUGUAGCGGUGAAAUGCGUAGAUAUCGUAAGGAAGACCAGUGGCGAAGGCGGCUCACUGGCCCGAUACUGACGCUGAGGCACGAAAGCGUGGGGAGCAAACAGG